CCCUUUUGAUGGCGGAGAGAAUGUUGCAGCUUUUAAGUAAGUCUACAGAUUUUGCCAUGGGAAGAGAGCAGUUUUACAGCUGAUUUCCUGAAAUUCUACCUAUUUUGCCAAGGAGCGUGUCGUAGGGAUUUCCAAGGUGAAUAAAAGAGAAGAGCAGUCACAGAUAAAGUCAAACAAAACCAAUAUGGUUUAAUACAAGUUGCCACAGGGAGACAACAUCCAGCAUUAGAGCACAGAAAAUGUCUAACUCGCCUAAGCAGGCCCUUAUAUUAUAAUCUAACAGCACCAAGCCACUGGGCAAAAACUGGUUUGAUGACAAUGAAUCAAGGUGGAAACUGAUUGGAUUUGAAAAAAGGCAUUAAGGACCUGAGCCCUAGGACCAUGCCUCAGGACGACCUGGCAUGAUGAUUCCUUGCUGUCCCCAGUCCACCUGGUCAUGCUGCUGCUCCAGUUUCGACUGUUCUGGCUGCGGCUAUGGAACACUGACCUGUUUACCGGACGUGCUACCUGUCCCAGACCUGCUGUUUUCAACUCUCUAGAGACAGCAGGAGCGGUCGGUAGAGAUGCUCUCAAUGAUCGGCUAUGAAAGGGCCAACUGACAUUUACUCCUGAGGCUCUGAUCUGUUGCACCCUCGACAACUACUGUGAUUAUUAUUAUUUGACCAUGCUGGUCAUUGAUGAACAUUUGAAAAAGCUCAAUACGGAACUGGUCCGAUGAAGCGGAUGCUGAGCUACAGGACUUUUUCGCUAGCACAGACUGGAUGGACACUUAUAAGAAAUCCCACUACACCCUCCGCCGAACAAUUUUGUGCAGCCUGGAGGAGAUCUUCGUGGGCUAUACUCAGCCUUGUUUCAGGGUAGUACGUUGGUGGUCUGUUGAUAUCCCUUUAGUGUUGUGGGGGCUGUUAUUGAGAAAAGUGGUUGGUUAUAUCCUGCCUGGUUGGCCCUGUCCGGGGGUAUAGUCAGACAGAGCCACCUUGUCACUCUUAUAGUCUCCACCCGGCACAGCCAGAAGGGGACUGGCCACCCCUCAGAGCCUGGUUCCUCUCUAGGUUUCUUCCUAGGUUCUUGGCUUUCUGGGGAGUUUUUCCUAGCCACCGUGCUUCCACAUCUGCAUUGCUUGUUGUUUGGGGUUUUAGGCUGGAUUUCUGUAUAAGCACUUUGUGACAUCUGCUGAUAUAAAAGGGCUUUAUAAAUACAUUUGAUUUGAUGAUCAAACAGUCAAAGCGUCAGUACAGGACCAAGAUCGAAUCCUACUACACCUGCUCUGAUGUCGUAUAUGGCAGGGCUUGCAAACCAUCAUGGAUUACAAAGGGAAACCCAGCCGCAAGCUGGCCUAUAUAUAAGACAGCUAUUAUUCAUCUGUGACCCUUAUGUAAUUACAGGCAGGGUGGGAAAUCAACACCAGCCACCAACCAAAUGCGGUUAGAUUUUGCCAUUGGCUGGUAGACUAUCUAUUCUUACCAGCCAUGUUGGCAGGUGGUCACACAGUUGUUUUUUUAUCCCAUUUUGCAGAUUAUUUUUUCUCAAGACUAAAUAUCCCGAAGCCUCUGUGUAUGUGAAGAUCACAUUCUGCACGUGUUUUCUUUACCUCUACUUUUCACACAUUGUUGUGGUCUCCUUCCUUUCACAUUUCUCACUGUCAACCGUGAAUGAUAAUGAUAAUAGUUUUUACUGGUGAAAUGGCCAUGGAGCAUCUGCAUACCAAUAAUGUGAUUUUAAUCAGUUUCAUGGGGAUAUAUGCAUUUAGAUCUUUAUACAGUGUUUGAAAUAGCCUACAGUGUUCUGAAUGAUGUACAGUGAGCAAAUCUUAGAGCAGAUGGUGUAAAAUAGCUGUAGCAUAGCCUACCUGUGUAUUUUGCCUAGUGUUGUGCGCCGUUGAGUUUUGGCCACAAGAGAAAAAUGCAGUGGUGUUUUACAGUAAUGCAAUACUAUGUUUUUACAUUCGGAUAUGUUAUGUAGAAUAUUAUUAUUAUGUGAUCAUGCAAACUUUGAUCUAAUGUUAUUAAACAAGCACCAAUAGCCAGAGUAGCUGUCACGCCCUGACCUUAUUAUUCUUUGUUUUCUUUAUUAUUUUAGUUGGGUCAGGGUGUGACGAGGGUGAUAUCUGUGUUUUUGACCUGUCUAGGGUUUUUGUAUGUUUAUGGGGUUAUUUUUAGUCUAGGUGUUUUUAUGUCUAUGGUUGCCUAGAUUGGUUCUCAUUUUGAAGCAAGCAGCUGUUUAUCGUUGUCUCUGAUUGGGGACCAUAUUUAGGUAGCCAUAUUCCUUGGGUAUUUCAUGGGUUAUUGUCUAUGUAUAGUUGCCCGUGUCAGCACUAGUGUUUAUAGCUUCACGUUCGUUUUGUUUUGUUAGUUUGUUAAGUGUUCUUCCUUUAAUAAAGAGGAAUGUAUUCGUAUCACGCAGCACCUUGGUCUCCUCGUUACAACGAACGUGACAGUAGCCUUACCUCUACACGGCGAACCAGAGACUGUACGUAAUGUAGAGCAUAAACACAUGCACAGAACGUGAACUGCACAUGUGCAGAAACUUCGGGAUCUUUAGUCCAGAGAACAAAGGCCCAAGAAAAACUUGUGUGUGUGUGUGUGUGUGUGUGGCUGGUCAAAUUUGGACCUCCACCAGCCAACGUUAAUUUCACAUUCUGAUUACAGUACUCAUUACAGCUCUAAUCAUACACACAGAGACAUACACACUCAUGACACAUUCCUAGUGGCGCCACCACUGCUGGGCACUGGCUGUAAGGCGAUAGAGGGAGCGGGAACUGAGCAGGAACUGGAUGAGAAGCAAAGGGAAAAGAAGAGAGGAUUAGAUACAUCUCACUACCAUGACUCAUUGAGGCUGUCUAGUCUAUUAUUAGUACAGAGAAGAAGGAGGGCUUUUAUACAUGGAGAGAUGGAGGCAA
Molecule: long non-coding RNA, 2899 nt
Organism: Oncorhynchus tshawytscha (Chinook salmon)
Lineage: Eukaryota; Metazoa; Chordata; Actinopteri; Salmoniformes; Salmonidae
Source: Ensembl